GCUAAAAAUCUAGCCCCCCCCCCCCAUUAAAUGUAAAUUAAAAUCUUAAUACAUUAAUUAAAACAUUUUAACAUUUUAGUAAAGGCGAUCGAAAAAUCCCAUUAGAGCAAUAUAAAUAGUACCGCAAGGGAAAGAUGAAAUAAAAAUGAAACAAAUCUUAAGCACAAAAAAGUAGAGAUGGCCCCUCGUACCUUUUGCAUCAUGGUUUAACUAGUCCAACGAAGCAAAACGACUUUUAGUUUAACCUCCCGAAACCAGGCGAGCUACUUCAAGGCAGCUUACUGAGCAAACCCGUCCCUGUUGCAAAAGGGUGGGAAGACCUUCAAGUAGGGGUGAUAGACCUAACGAGCUUGGUGAUAGCUGGUUACUCAAGAAAAGGAUUUUAGUCCAACUUAAAGUUUUAUUAAUAUAAGAAAAAUAUCAUACUCACUUUAAAGCAAUUCAAGUAAGGUACAGCCUAUUUGAAAAAGGAUACAACCUAUAAAGACGGGUAAUCUUUUCAAGCAUAACUAAGUAGGCCCAAAAGCAGCCACCUUUAAAAUAGCGUCAAAGCUUUAUUACAAAUCAAUUGAAUCUCUUACAUAACCUAGAACCCUCCUAAACUACUGAGUACUUCUAUACAAUUAUAGAAAAUUUUAUGUUAAAACUAGUAACAAGAAAAUGAAUUUCACUUUAAUGCAAGUGUAAAUCAGAAGGACACUCCACUGAUAAUUAACGCUUCUGCAAUAAACUAAUAACCUCACAAGAAAAACUUAGUAUAUUUUGCGUUAACCUAACACAAGAGCAUUUCAAGUAAGAUUAAAAGAAAAAGAAGGAACUCGGCAAAUUUUAACCUCGCCUGUUUACCAAAAACAUCGCCUCUUGGAUAAUUAUAAGAGGUCCAGCCUGCCCAGUGACCCUGUUCAACGGCCGCGGUAUCCUAACCGUGCGAAGGUAGCGUAAUCACUUGUUCUUUAAAUAAGGACUAGUAUGAACGGCAUCACGAAGGUUAUACUGUCUCCUUUUUCUAAUCAGUGAAACUAAUCCCCCCGUGAAGAAGCGGGGAUAGAAAUAUAAGACGAGAAGACCCUAUGGAGCUUUAAACUAAAUAACAUGUGCCUUUAUCUUUAAAUACUCCAGAGUGUAUAAAACUUAUUAUGGCCUUAUGAUUAUUAGUUUUAGGUUGGGGUGACCGCGGAGUAAAAAAUAACCUCCAUGUUGAAAGGAUGAAUUUCCUGAGUCAUGAGCUACAGCUCUAAACACCAAUAAACUGACAUUAAUUGACCCAAAUUUUUGAUCAACGAACCAAGUUACCCUAGGGAUAACAGCGCAAUCUAUCUUAAGAGCCCAUAUCGACAGAUAGGUUUACGACCUCGAUGUUGGAUCAGGGUGUCCCAGUGGUGCAGCCGCUACUAAAGGUUCGUUUGUUCAACGAUUAAAACCCU
This 1424-nucleotide ribosomal RNA is filed under the name Tlalocohyla smithii (dwarf Mexican treefrog). RNAcentral describes it as "partial 16S ribosomal RNA". It matches the Rfam family "Bacterial large subunit ribosomal RNA", at positions 157 to 2597 of the family's 2925-position model. Lineage: Eukaryota; Metazoa; Chordata; Amphibia; Anura; Hylidae. The record is from RNAcentral.